GACGAACGCUGGCGGCGUGCUUAACACAUGCAAGUCGAACGGAAAGGCCCUGCUUUUGUGGGGUGCUCGAGAGGCGAACGGGUGAGUAACACGUGAGUAACCUGACCUUGACUUUGGGAUAACUUCAGGAAACUGGGGCUAAUACAGGAAAGGAGCUCCUCCUGCAUGGUGGGGGUUGGAAAGUGUCGGCGGUUGUGGAGGGACUAGAGGCUUAUCAGCUUGUUGGUGGGGGAGUGGCUUACCAAGGCGUUGACGGGUAGCCGGCCGGAGCGGGUGACCGGCCACAUUGGGACUGCGAUGCGGCCCCGCCUCCUCCGGGAGGCAGCAGUGGGGAAUAUUGCACAAUGGGCGGAGGCCUGAUGCAGCAACGCCGCGUGCGGGAUGACGGCCUUCGGGUUGUAGACCGCUUUCGCCUGUGACGAAGCGUGAGUGACGGUAAUGGGUAAAGAAGCACCGGCUAACUACGUG
This 468-nucleotide ribosomal RNA is filed under the name uncultured bacterium. RNAcentral's name for it is "partial 16S ribosomal RNA". It matches the Rfam family "Bacterial small subunit ribosomal RNA", at positions 28 to 507 of the family's 1533-position model. The record is from RNAcentral.